Molecule: ribosomal RNA, 433 nt
Filed under: uncultured bacterium
Lineage: Bacteria
Description: partial 16S ribosomal RNA
Rfam family: Bacterial small subunit ribosomal RNA
Source: RNAcentral
AACGAACGCUGGCGGCAUGCCUAACACAUGCAAGUCGAACGAGACCUUCGGGUCUAGUGGCGCACGGGUGCGUAACGCGUGGGAACCUGCCCUUAGGUUCGGAAUAACUCCCCGAAAGGGGUGCUAAUACCGGAUAAUGUCUUCGGACCAAAGAUUUAUCGCCUUUGGAUGGGCCCGCGUUGGAUUAGCUAGUUGGUAGGGUAAAAGCCUACCACGGCGACGAUCCAUAGCUGGUCUGAGAGGAUGAUCAGCCACACUGGGACUGAGACACGGCCCAGACUCCUACGGGAGGCAGCAGUGGGGAAUAUUGGACAAUGGGCGAAAGCCUGAUCCAGCAAUGCCGCGUGAGUGAUGAAGGCCUUAGGGUUGUAAAGCUCUUUUACCCGGGAUGAUAAUGACAGUACCGGGAGAAUAAGCGCCGGCUAACUCCGUG